Molecule: long non-coding RNA, 4532 nt
Organism: Oryctolagus cuniculus (rabbit)
Lineage: Eukaryota; Metazoa; Chordata; Mammalia; Lagomorpha; Leporidae
Source: Ensembl
AUGCGCGCUGCAGCAGCUACGAAGUCGGCGCCGGCUGCGCUCGGGGGACCAGCGGGAGGGAGGCUGCGGACGAGUGCGGGGAGGAGUCUGCGCUGGGAGGCGCUUGCAGGGGCUCCCCCAGUUCUGCGCCGAGAGCCGCGGCACAAAGAGCUCUCUGCGCCCACCAGAGCUGUGGCCUCUCCCUGCCCAUGCACGUGGUUUCUGAGACACGCGUGUGGCCGCCAUGACCCAGUGGCAGCAAAGGGCCCGGGGCUGUUUGCAGAGUACGGCGAUCCGGGGACCCAGGAGACAGAAGAGAGCGCCCAGAUUGUUCCGGACCUGCACGGUCAGCGGGAGCCACCUUGCAGAUAAGUGUGGGACUGGCCAGCCUGCAGCCCUCUGGCCCGCCCCCUGCUGGCCUGUUCAGCAAAGUGCUGGAUCCCAGGAUCAGGAAGAGGGAGGGAGGGUAAUCCGUGAGGCCCCUACUCACUUUUCUACCUCUGUGCCAGAAAGAAAGAGCUUGUCCCUGUUUUGUGGGGCGCAAGAAAAGGCGAUCGGUAUUCCGGAUUCCCGACUCGCUGUCCAGUGCUCCCUCCCAGCCGUCAGCAAGCUGCAAGUUUCUCCUGUGUUCUCUCGGGUCGCCUGUGACGUUGCUGGGGAGCGGGUGGGGGUGGUGCAGGGAGACCUGGCCUCCGCGCUCUCUGGGGAUGUUCUGGGGUGGGAGCCAGGGGAGGUGGAGAGUGGUGCGCCCCCACCCCCCGCCGGGCUCCCAGGCCACCUGCUCACCAGCAGGGAGUUCUGGCUAUGCCCAGGCUGGGGCGGGGGUUGGGGUAGGGGUGGGGGGAUGGUGAGGGCUGGAUGCUGUUUUCUCCCGAGUUGUGUUUGGUGCUUUUUUUUUUUCCUUCCAGGAUGGGGCUGUGGGGUCGACAUGGGGAAUGAGCCGGAGCCGGGCCUGGGCUGCCGAGGCACUGGCUGGAGGCUGCCAGGGCAUGCACUGCGUCCCUUCUCUGAGCUGGACUCGGGGAUCCAGCGGUGAGCACCUGAGAUGCCCCGUACUGUUCCCUGGGAUCUUCAGGAGCCUCUGCUCCGGCCGCGUGGCCAGGACUCCAGGCCUGGUGCCAGCAGCUGUCAGUGGUUUUCUGGACCUCUGGGUGAUCCUGCCAAGACCUCAGCCUUCCCCAUGCACAGGACGGAGCCUGCUGUGGACGCGAGCCCUCCCUGGCCGACACUCCGCUGAGGACUGAACUGGAUGUCAAGGGCAGCUCAAGGGUACAGCAGGGGCCGCAGCAGCCGCCUGCCUGUCGCAUCUGCUGGGCUCCAGUGUCUGGGGCUGGGGGUCACUUCCUGACCCCGCUUGGACUCGGUUCCUCCUCGGGUCUCUGCCUGCGACCUGGGGCCAGGUCUCCCUGACCACGCCUUCCCUCGGGCUGUGUCUCAGAGGAAGCCACAGCUCGAAGCAGGCGUGAGACAGGGGUCGGGAGGGGCUCUGCGCGGGCUGGAGGCUGUGGGGACUUCCUAGGGGACACUUUCCCUGGUGGCUUGGGAGGAGUAGGGGCCUGGCCUCAGGGUGCUCCAGCUCUGGGGGCUUGGUGGGGGUGCAGCUGGAGGGGCAGCGGGGGCAGUGCCCUGGAAAGAUAGUUCUUGGGUGAGGAGGCGCCGAGGCCAAGGAGACGCAUUAGGAAAGACAUAGCCAGCUCCAGGUGCGGUGCUGCUACCUGCAGGCCUGAGGGGCUGCCCCCGGCUCCAUCUCAGGAUGCUAUGUCCCAGUCGGACCCCUUGGAGCUCCUCCCACCGUGGCUGGAUUCUGGCCCUGGGAGCAGAGGCUGGCAACCCCCGUCCCCACUGCUCCCUUGUCCAUCUGUGAGUAGACCCCUAGGGAGGCGGUCGGCCAUCUCAGUGCCUUCCCGUGGCCGGGGUGGGGAGGAGGUGCAGGCAGGGCGGCGUAAACACUGGCCCUUUACUUUCCCAUAGCUGGGGAGGCUGUGACGGCUCAGAAGCCAGGGCUGGUUUUCAGCAAGUCCUCUGCCCACGGCGCCUCUGCUGUGUCCUCUGCUUACGAGGUCCUCAGCCCCGUUGGGCCAGAGCCCUGCCCCGUUGAACUCAUGCCCCCUUCGGCACAGCCCUGGAGGUCCCAUCUCGCACGCAGUGACACAGGGCUCAGGGCUUGGGCCCGAAUGGACUCUGGGGGAGACAGUUCUGUGUGUCAGGUGUGGAGAGCUGGAGUCAUCAACUCUUCAAUCAGGGAUGGGGAGGAGCAGAUGUGGAGAGGGGGGCAGGUGCAGGGCCUGGGUGGGCUGGGGGCAUCUGGGCACAGGUGGAGCUGGCGGGGACCAGGGCGGGAGGAGGCACCUCCUGGGAGCCAGGUCAGGUCUCUGCUGUGAGUUCUGCCGCACCCGUCUCAGACCAGUCCACUCCCCUCUGCUAGCCUCGGCUUCCACUUGCAGGGGGCGCCGCGUGCUCUCCUGGGAGCGAAGGGGGAUCUGAUGAGGUCGUGUGCUUGGCCCAGGGCCUGUUAGUAGCUGCCCGGUAAACACUGCCAUCCAUCUGGGAGUGUGGAGUUAGGGUUUAUCUAUUGUUGGCACGCUGGACUGGAGAACAGCAUCUUCCGACCCAGCCGCUUAGCUGUCCAACCCUUCCCCGUAUCUCAUCGGCUGGGGGAAGUGACUGCAUUUCACAGCCUCCAUGGUAGAUGGUAGCGGUAGUUCAUGGUGUUUUCUGGGGGUAUUUACUGUUUUUUUUUUUUUUUUUUAAGAUUUAUUUAUUUGAGAGAGAGAGAGAGAGAGAAGGGGGAGAGAGAGAGAAAGAGAGAGAUUUUUUGCAUCUUCCAGAUUCACUUUCCAAUUGGCCAUAACAGCCAGGUCUGGACCAGCCUGAAGCCAGGAGCCAGGAGCUCCAUCCUGGUCUCCCACGUGGGCGGCAGAGGCCCAAGCACUUGGGCAUCUUCCAUUGCCUCCCAGGCGGGCGCAUUAACAGCAAGCUGAUUGGCAGCUGAGCAGCCAGGACUUGAACCAGAAACCCCGACAUGGGAUGCAGGUGUUCCGAACGCCAGCCCCUGGGGUGUUUAAAUUCUGCUUCUGUCAUUAGAAUUGAGCACCCACUUGGAGCCUUUCCUGUGGGAGCCACCAGGGGGUGAGGAAGAAGGAGGGCAGAUGGGUAAAGACCAGGUCAUGGUUCAGAUCUUUAAGAUUUCACGGCCAGGCCAGGGGGAAGAAACCAGCUCCUGGGGAGCUGGAGAUGAGGGGCUAGGACCGUCUACUAAGGCACAGGUUCUGAGUCCUUGAGGCGCGGGGAUAAAACCCCUGAGGCUGAACCCACCAGAGCCUUGAAGGAGGAAAAAAAUAUGUCUAGACAAGAGCUUAUUGGGGGGAAGAAUUAGAGCGGAGAGCCACAUAGUAUGUUCUAGAUGUUGAAAAGAGAGUCCCGAUGCAGCGGGUUUCUCUAGUGCAGGGCUUAUCAGAGCGUUUAGAAUGCUCACGGUAAUUCUGGAUGUCCAGGGACAUCCAGGACAAAGAAGGGAGGGCUCCUAGCUUCUCUGGACACGCCAUUCUUUUCUCAUAGAAAUCAUUGUGAACCAUGAGAGAUGCGAGGCUGGGGGGUUGGGAAGGAAAAUGUAGCAGGGAGGUAGAUGGCAUAGCGAGGUGCCCUCAGGUGCAUGGUAGCAUCCACAGGAAAGGGGGCAGAGCAGGAGGGGCCAGGGAUGUGAACUUGGCUGCAAGAGCCAGGUCAACUCACUGCAGAUUCUGGAGGGCGUGGGGGAGAACAGGCCAGUGGUUGGAGCAGGUAGAGACCUGGAGGAUGGUGAUGGCGUCCACCGGGCAUGGUGGCUCUGGGGGACUGGGUGUUUGGUGGUGUGAUGCUGGUGUAGUGUGAGUGUGCCCAGGUGUGAAAGCACCCAGCCCCCAGGGGAAUGGGCUGCCUAGAACCGAGGUAGGGGUUUCCAUUCAGAACAAGUAGAGAACUUUCGGGAGAACAAUCCACCACAUUCCCCCUGCCGUCGGAAGAAGGGGCUUGGAGACCACAGCCACAUGCUUCCGGGCAGGGUGCACGUGGUUGGGUUUGAUUCUGUGGGACCCCGGAGACUUCCAGGUGGACCCCCUGCCUGGUGGGGCCCCGCUCCCGGGCUGGCGGGCUGCAGCUGGAGGGGCCGGGGAAGUGUGUUGCAUGUGUGAUUAACCUACUAACCCAGGGCUCGGCCGGGACGCUGUGUGACGAGGUGCUGGCCUUCUGCCAACCAACUAACCCACUAACCAGGCCCGAGCAUGCCCUACUAACCCCUCCCGCAGCCAGACCCUACUAACCCGCGCAGCUCAUGGGCCUUUCCAGGGGCUGGGACGUGGGGGCAGAGGAGGCUCUGCAGGACCCUCCCUGCCUGAGGGCUGGGGUCUUUGUGCAGACCCACAAUGCAGGGCAGGGCGAGUCAUGCCCACGCACCAAUUCUGCCACUUCCUGUCCGUGACUCUGAACACAACAUUUCUCUGGUCCUGUUCCCGCUGACCCCUACCUCACAGGCUGCAGUGAGGCGUGCCCAGAAUAAAGGGUCUUGGCACAGGGCA